RNAcentral lists this ribosomal RNA (383 nucleotides) under uncultured bacterium. Its description in RNAcentral is "bacterial SSU rRNA". It matches the Rfam family "Bacterial small subunit ribosomal RNA", at positions 29 to 440 of the family's 1533-position model. The record is from RNAcentral.
AACGAACGCUGGCGGCAUGCCUAACACAUGCAAGUCGAACGAGACCUUCGGGUCUAGUGGCGCACGGGUGCGUAACGCGUGGGAAUCUGCCUUGGGGUACGGAAUAACUCAGAGAAAUUUGAGCUAAUACCGUAUGAUGUCUUCGGACCAAAGAUUUAUCGCCCUGAGAUGAGCCCGCGUAGGAUUAGCUAGUUGGUGGGUAACGGCCCACCAAGUCUACGAUCAGUAGCUGAUGUGAGAGCAUGAUCAGCCACACUGGGACUGAGACACGGCCCAGACUCCUACGGGAGGCAGCAGUGGGGAAUAUUGGACAAUGGGCGAAAGCCUGAUCCAGCAAUGCCGCGUGAGUGAUGAAGGCCUUAGGGUUGUAAAGCUCUUUUACC